Long non-coding RNA from Topomyia yanbarensis, 819 nucleotides. RefSeq lists it as uncharacterized. Lineage: Eukaryota; Metazoa; Arthropoda; Insecta; Diptera; Culicidae. The record is from RefSeq and is a predicted model, not a curated record. The transcript is spliced from 3 exons.
UCUUCGCCUGCUUUAACGCCCAAUCAUUUUCUGGUGAAUUCAUCCAAUGGCCUCAAGCCACUUGUACCGUUUGACGAUCAUGUUGUGGCUCUAAAGCAAUCGUAUAAGACCUCACAGCUUCUAGCCAACAUUUUCUGGAGACGAUGGGUAAAUGAAUAUCUUCCAACUAUAACUCGCCGGACAAAGUGGUUCUCUCCGGCGAAACCCAUAUCGGUUGGAGACAUAGUAGUCGUCGUGGAUUCUAACCUGCCACGGAACUGCUGGCCCAAAGGGAGGGUGAUUGAAACCGUACUCUCUAAGGACGGACAAGUCAGGCAGGCCACGGUGCAGACUAUCGGAGGUAUCUACCAGAGACCUGCAGUGAACAUCGCGGUGCUAGACGUCGGUGCAAACGCGGGUAAUCCGGACCAGGGACCGGCUACCGGGGGGGAGUGUUGAGCAAGCCCCUCGUGCGCAGCGCACCUCGCUGUUCAGCACCUUGGUCCGUGAACGGACAACGGCUCGUAGCGGAAGGCACACUGUCAGUUGGAAGGAAACCACAUUAGCAUUUGGGACAUAGUGGAACAUCGUUUGAAGCUCACACGCUGCACUUUCGGAUUCUUAUUAAUUGAAUUAAUUUGUUAGCCUACCUAGUUAAAUUAAAUUAAAUUGAAUUAUCCUAUAACUAGCUAGAGGGUUACACAUAAGUGAGGUUAAAUUCAAGUAGGCUCGCUCGCCGGUUCUAGAGAAGCUGAAACCUACAAAACGAGAUUUUAAUUUUCCCGUACCGAAAUACAGAAAUUGAAAAUCACGGAACCUGUUUCUCUGUUGCCACAGCAA